CGUCUAUAUACGUAUAGCAUAUCAAUAAGCGGAGGAAAAGAAACUAACAAGGAUUCCCCUAGUAACGGCGAGUGAAGCGGGAAGAGCUCAAAUUUGAAAUCUUCAAGGGUUUCCCUUUACGAAUUGUAGUUUAAAGAAGUGUUCUCUGUUAGAGAGUUCGGUAAAAGUUCUUUGGAAUAGGACAUCAUAGAGGGUGAGAAUCCCGUAUUUGACGUCACUUUCCUAGCUACGUUGUGAUACACUUUCAAAGAGUCGGAUUGUUUGGGAAUGCAGUCCAAAAUGGGUGGUAAAUUUCAUCUAAAGCUAAUAUUGGCGAGAGACCGAUAGCGAACAAGUACCGUGAGGGAAGGAUGAAAAGAACUUUGAAAAGAGAGUUAAACAGUACGUGAAAUUGUCAAAAGGGAAGCGUUUGACACCAGUGUUGUUUUUCCGAAAAUCAAUUAAUGAAUGGCGUGAUUUUAAGUUUCAUGACCUUAAAAGCUUGUUUCUUAUUUUUCAUGUCUUUCGUAAUGCACUUUUCGGUUAACAAGUCAACAUCAAUUUCUUUUGUUGUAAAAGGUUAAGAGGAAGGUGGCUUUACUUUCGGGUAAAGUGUUUAUAGCCUUUUAACUCUGCAAUCGGAGAGAUUGAGGUCUGCAGCGUAGAUCCUUCGGGGUUAGAUACAUUUGUGCUAAGUUAUAGCUUUUCAUAGACAACUUGUUGACUAUGUUAAGUCUUGUAAUUUACUCGCAGAUGCUAUUUUACCUACGCUUAGGAUGUUGAUAUGCAUGACUGAUAU
RNAcentral lists this ribosomal RNA (778 nucleotides) under uncultured Neocallimastigales. RNAcentral describes it as "partial large subunit ribosomal RNA". It matches the Rfam family "Eukaryotic large subunit ribosomal RNA", at positions 26 to 634 of the family's 3401-position model. The record is from RNAcentral. Lineage: Eukaryota; Fungi; Neocallimastigomycota; Neocallimastigomycetes; Neocallimastigales.